RNAcentral lists this ribosomal RNA (483 nucleotides) under uncultured Escherichia sp. RNAcentral describes it as "bacterial SSU rRNA". It matches the Rfam family "Bacterial small subunit ribosomal RNA", at positions 27 to 499 of the family's 1533-position model. The record is from RNAcentral. Lineage: Bacteria; Pseudomonadati; Pseudomonadota; Gammaproteobacteria; Enterobacterales; Enterobacteriaceae.
GAUUGAACGCUGGCGGCAGGCCUAACACAUGCAAGUCGAACGGUAACAGGAAGAAGCUUGCUUCUUUGCUGACGAGUGGCGGACGGGUGAGUAAUGUCUGGGAAACUGCCUGAUGGAGGGGGAUAACUACUGGAAACGGUAGCUAAUACCGCAUAACGUCGCAAGACCAAAGAGGGGGACCUUCGGGCCUCUUGCCAUCGGAUGUGCCCAGAUGGGAUUAGCUAGUAGGUGGGGUAACGGCUCACCUAAGCGACGAUCCCUAGCUGGUCUGAGAGGAUGACCAGCCACACUGGAACUGAGACACGGUCCAGACUCCUACGGGAGGCAGCAGUGGGGAAUAUUGCACAAUGGGCGCAAGCCUGAUGCAGACAUGCCGCGUGUAUGAACAAGGCCUUCGGGUUGUAAAGUACUUUCAGCGGGGAGGAAGGGAGUAAAGUUAAUACCUUUGCUCAUUGACGUUACCCGCAGAAGAAGCACCGGCUA